This 374-nucleotide long non-coding RNA is filed under the name Mytilus galloprovincialis (Mediterranean mussel). The record is from RNAcentral. Lineage: Eukaryota; Metazoa; Mollusca; Bivalvia; Mytilida; Mytilidae.
GUUCUAUUGUUUUCUGCUAUUGUUGUGUAAGGUAGUAUGCUCAUUGAGCCACAUUAAUAGGUGCUGAAUAAAUGCCAUUUAUGUUUGAAAAAAAUAUCGUGAGUUUGCUGAAUUUAAGCCAAUAUAUAAGAUACUUUAAAAACUCCUACUCUGCAUUGCUGGACAUGGGUAUCGUGAAAUCUGACAUUUGACAAUUUACUCACUUUUGUCAAUACAAUGUUAUAAAUACAGUGAGGUUUAAUAGUAAAAUAGGAUGGACACAGAGGCAGAAUAAGGACUGGUACUGUAACACAUGUACUAUCCACGGAAUUUUUGUUUUGUUUUCUGAAAACAAAUUUGAAUUUGGUUCUACACGCAGUUUGCCAAAAAAAAUC